AUCUCUAAUCUGGAAUUUUCAACAAUGGGGCUGGUGGGUCAGGGUGCACCAGAUCUCAGGAGGUUUAUCCAGAAGACUUUCAAGUGCCCCAAGAGGCUGAGUGGUCCGCCAAGUGCCUGCAUGUGUGCAGUCAGGAAGCUUGAGUCUGGGUUCUGCCUGGGGCAAGUCACUACAACUCCCAGAGCCUCAUUUCUGCUAUUCGUAAAAUGGAGAAGACACCUCCUAUGAUAUCAAGUCACUGACUUGUUCCCAGGCAAAGACUUCCAUGCUAAUUUAAUUUAUAGAAGACGCAAAGCCCCCAAUCUGUUCUACAAAGCAAAACAAAAGACAACACAGAAAGCAAACAACCAGCUUCACUUCUGAAUAUAGACAAAGACAUUCUCAAUAAAACAUUAGCAAAUAUAAUGCAACCUUAUUUCCCGUAAUGCAGUGGGGUGGAUGCCAGGAAUGAUAGGAGUAUUCAAAUUCAGCAAAUACAUUCAUAGAGCUCAUAAGAAGGACCUUAGUGGUGUUGAGGGCUGUUGGGACUACAAAGUGGGAGCCCUUACAAGGUCUUGAGCACAGUAAGGUGAUGUGAUAUGUGGUUAAGUGGACUACUUUGGCUGCUGUGUGAAGAAGUGAUUUAAGGGAGGCAAGAAACUGGGAGUGAGUUAAGAGGUGUGGUGAGCAGAGUAACGGCCCACAAAGAUGUCCACAUCCAAAUCCUCAGAACCUGUGAAUAUGUUAUUUUACAUGAGAAGGGGCAAUUAAAGUUACAGAUGGAACUAUGGUUGCUAAUCAGCUGACCGUGAGGUGGGGAGACAAUCUUGGAUUAUCCAGGUGCAUAAGGAAAUCACAACGGUCCUUAUAAGUGAGAGGAAGGCAGGAGAGAGGGAGGCAGAGUGAUGCAGUGUGGGAAAGACUCGCCCAGCCAUUGUUGGCUUUGAGAUGGAAGGGACCACGAGCCAUACAAUGCAAGGCAUCCAUAGAAGCUCAGUAAGGCAAGAAGAUGACUUCUGCCCGGAGUUUCCAGAUGGAAAGCAGUCCUGCUGACACCUUGAUUUUAGCCCAGUGAGAUCCACUUCAGACUUCUGACCUCCAGAACUGUGAGAACAUAAAUCUGUGUUGCUUUAAGUUGCUCAGUUUGAGGAGUUUGUUGCAGUGGAAAUAGGCUACUAACACAGGUUGGCUACUGCAAUAACCCAAGUGGGAGUUGGCAGCGGCUUGGAUGGGAGUGGUGGCAGAGAAAGUGCCAGGAAGUGGUUGGAUUUUGGACAUGAUCUGAAGUGAAGUCAAUGAGAUUUACCGACAAACAAGGUAUUUGAUUGGGUUUGAAAGAACGGGAAGUCAAUGUGAGUCUCAGUGGAGAGGAGACUUUGAGUUUCCGUAAAGAGGCAGUAGAAUUUGAAAAAGUGCCCCUAAGAGACUGAGCACUUUCUUUUUCCCCCUUCCAGCCCCACCCCUCAUCAUACCCAAAGACCAGUGAUCCGGACUAAAACCAUGCCCAGUGGGUUUUGUGGGCUAUUUUUCUAGACCUACCCCCAAAGGUUGGCCUUUAAGAUAUUGUCACUUCGAUGAAAAGAAUGAUCAAGAAACAAAUUAUUGAAUUAUGCGAUUUACAGCAUCGUUCCUAUCCUCCUGACUGUGAAAGAAAGAGAAUCCUUGAACCUCCCUCCUCCCUUUCUUUCCAAGGGAAACUUUGAAUUUGUUAGCUCAAUGCCUGGGCAGGAACAUCUACUGAGAGAGGCCAGAACAUUUCCAUCAAAGAGGAGGCAAAUAUCUAGUGAGAGAAAAAAGUAGUUCCAAGACUGGGGGCUGGGGCACCAAAAGAAGUUGAGAGCCACCUGCAUGGUUUACUGGAGAAGUGUUGGCAGCAAGCUGGAAAUGAAACGGAGAGAGACUCUUUGAUCCACAAGGUCUGUGAGCAAGAUUGAAAGGAAAGAAAGGAAAAGAGGGUUUUAAGCCACGUUGUCAUGGAUUGGAACUGUAUCUUCUGUGAUAUUCUUUGAGAACAUCGGUAAACAUUGGAAUUGCUUGUGCUAAAAAAUGAAAUUACAUUGCUUAGCCUUGAAACUGUGCAACCUUUCAACUGCUGAUGAAAACAACCUCAGCAAGAUGAAAAUUUCUCCAUUUUCCUGAAACUAUUCUGCAUCAUAAAAUUCAUUGCAGGUGGUACCUUUAAAAAUAAAAGACUUGUAAAAAAUGUCCUUUCUGCACCUGGAUAUCCUCA
This 2209-nucleotide long non-coding RNA is filed under the name Homo sapiens (human). RNAcentral's name for it is "long non-coding RNA NONHSAT150644.1". The record is from RNAcentral. Lineage: Eukaryota; Metazoa; Chordata; Mammalia; Primates; Hominidae.